GGCGGGCGUGCUAUACAUGCAGUCGAACGCUUCUUUCCUCCCGAGUGCUUGCACUCAAUUGGAAAGAGGAGUGGCGGACGGGUGAGUAACACGUGGGUAACCUACCCAUCAGAGGGGGAUAACACUUGGAAACAGGUGCUAAUACCGCAUAACAGUUUAUGCCGCAUGGCAUAAGAGUGAAAGGCGCUUUCGGGUGUCGCUGAUGGAUGGACCCGCGGUGCAUUAGCUAGUUGGUGAGGUAACGGCUCACCAAGGCCACGAUGCAUAGCCAACCUGAGAGGGUGAUCGGCCACACUGGGACUGAGACACGGCCCAGACUCCUACGGGAGGCAGCAGUAGGGAAUCUUCGGCAAUGGACGAAAGUCUGACCGAGCAACGCCGCGUGAGUGAAGAAGGUUUUCGGAUCGUAAAACUCUGUUGUUAGAGAAGAACAAGGACGUUAGUAACUGAACGUCCCCUGACGGUAUCUAACCAGAAAGCCACGGCUAACUACGUGCCAGCAGCCGCGGUAAUACGUAGGUGGCAAGCGUUGUCCGGAUUUAUUGGGCGUAAAGCGAGCGCAGGCGGUUUCUUAAGUCUGAUGUGAAAGCCCCCGGCUCAACCGGGGAGGGUCAUUGGAAACUGGGAGACUUGAGUGCAGAAGAGGAGAGUGGAAUUCCAUGUGUAGCGGUGAAAUGCGUAGAUAUAUGGAGGAACACCAGUGGCGAAGGCGGCUCUCUGGUCUGUAACUGACGCUGAGGCUCGAAAGCGUGGGGAGCAAACAGGAUUAGAUACCCUGGUAGUCCACGCCGUAAACGAUGAGUGCUAAGUGUUGGAGGGUUUCCGCCCUUCAGUGCUGCAGCAAACGCAUUAAGCACUCCGCCUGGGGAGUACGACCGCAAGGUUGAAACUCAAAGGAAUUGACGGGGGCCCGCACAAGCGGUGGAGCAUGUGGUUUAAUUCGAAGCAACGCGAAGAACCUUACCAGGUCUUGACAUCCUUUGACCACUCUAGAGAUAGAGCUUUCCCUUCGGGGACAAAGUGACAGGUGGUGCAUGGUUGUCGUCAGCUCGUGUCGUGAGAUGUUGGGUUAAGUCCCGCAACGAGCGCAACCCUUAUUGUUAGUUGCCAUCAUUUAGUUGGGCACUCUUGCGAGACUGCCCGUGACAAACCGGAAGAAAAGUGGGGGAUAAAAUCCAAUCAUCAAUGCCCCUAUAGAACUGGGGUACACACCUGGUUCAAUUGGGGAAUUCAACAAGUCCCUUUAACCCCGAGGUGUUUGGAAAUUUCUUAAAACUCUUUCUAUUUUCGAAUGGAGGGUGCAACUCCCCUGCGGGAGACCCGGAUUCGUUUGUAUUCCGGAUGAACACGCGCCGCUAAAAAUUUCCCUGGCCUUGUAACAACCG
This 1385-nucleotide ribosomal RNA is filed under the name Enterococcus faecalis. Its description in RNAcentral is "bacterial SSU rRNA". It matches the Rfam family "Bacterial small subunit ribosomal RNA", at positions 38 to 1392 of the family's 1533-position model. Lineage: Bacteria; Bacillati; Bacillota; Bacilli; Lactobacillales; Enterococcaceae. The record is from RNAcentral.